AAUCUCCGAUUUGUAAAGAAUCGAUUACAUAAUUGCAAUUGCAUCGCAGGAGAUUUUCAAUUUCUUGUUCGGGUAAUAAACCUGGAACAAAGCGUUCCAGCCGGCGUCAGUCUCUGCGAGGAUGUGAAAAAGUUCAAGGUGGUACUAGAAAGCGAGGUUACAUGAAUUUCGGGGUGGUGGGGGCGGAUGACGAGCCAGCGUAUGAAGAGGAUGGUAAAGAAUAAAACGGUAACAACGAUUGGAGCUGCGAUUAAGUGGCGGAGCUGGGGUGGUGUGUGAGUUGGGAUUUGCUGGUGGUUGGUUGUAAUAGUAUGGGUUAGUGGGCGGCGGUGGUGCGUGGUCGGUGGCAAAUUGCGGUGGACGGUAGCUUUAGGUUGCUGGGCGGGGGCGACAGAGUAGCCAGUACCGGGUCUUAAAGGGUCUACCAUGGUGGAUGUUAAGAGCUAAAAAGGAGACCGUGUUGAAUUGAUAAGAGAGAGGCAGAGAGAGAGACUUUGUUUAAUGGGUUUCUUGCGAAUACUAUCUUCCUAUAACAACAUCAAACUAUAGAUUGCCGUGGAAUUAAUGAAGUAACAAAAGAAAAAACAACGUGCAGAUAAACAUGCAAGAGUUUGCACCUCAUUGAAAAAAAAAGUGAGGAAAAAAGAAGAAAAGAAACCAAUAAAUAAAUAAUUAAUUCAACAGUUAAUUAAUAGGGAUAGAUGAUUAAGAAAAAUACGAGGAAAACAGGACUCAAUCAAUUCAAAUGAAGUGAGCAGCCUUUCGCUGCACUCAUGAGCUUCCCUGUCCUCUUGGUAGAUAGGAAUUCAACAGUUAAAGCCAGACACGAAACAUGGAAAAAUCUCUUCUUGGUAGGCCAAACGCCAAGAUCGUAUUUAGUUCUGACAAAUAAUCCUACAUUGAAAUUGACAAUCUUUUUGCUCCAAUCAUCACUUAUUUCCUUGAACACCCUGUUUUUGAUCGAGUGAACCGAGUGCCUGUCUAAAACUACCAUCAACUUUUCCUGAGCCGUCUUUGGAACGGAGACGCUAAUUUCUUGCAAAACUCUCAGCGAGAUGAUGGCUCUUCCGUAGGACACAGUAACUUUGACAUCGUCAAUGACAAGGUUUACCUUCUUGUUUGUAUUAUUUACAGAGAAUUCUAUGUCAUAAUUUGCAGUAAAUUGACUAUCAGAAAGGGUAAUGUUGGAUAUGCAGAGAGAGUUGAGUCCGAAAGUGGGAUCAUGCGGAUCAAUGACAAGCCAUAUGACGGCGCUGACAAAGCUUAAUGUAAGAAAUGACAUAACAAGUAACAGCAUCAAACGGGUAAUACAGUUAUGGAAACUCCGUGAUUGAUUAGGCCGAGCGGCUGCGGAAUUUAUUUGCAGCGUUGUUGAUGGCGGCUGUAGUCCGUAAGUACCAGGACUAGAAAUUGGAAGGCUGUUAGGAUCCAUAUAAAAGAUUAUCGGUUGGCCCAAGCUUGUGUCUGAGCAAGUCACAGAGUAGUUAAUGUCGAAGAGAUGUACCGUUUUUUUUCAAGAUAACCAAGGGCAAGAGAGAUGGCCCUUUUAAAUAAAUCCAGGUUAAAUAAAUCCCAGGAGACGCGUAUUCUUCCGAGGAAAAUUCCAAGCAAGCAUCCUGACGCCCUUGCCGUGAAGCUUCCUAUGCAACCACCACGUCACUCGAACGUAGAGACUAGACCACACAAGGUUACUCGAAGUUGUCGUCACACAAAUGUAAGCAUCCCAAGGAAGAGAAACACAUUAAUAUCAAAACAAUCCCCUACUCGUGACAUCUGGUAAUGAUCCCACAACAAAUUUAAAAAAGCCCACCUUUUGCCUGGUCCAAUGCUGACCGCUAAUGCACAAGGAAGAUUCAAUGAUGUGUUGUGGAAAUAGCG
This 1878-nucleotide unclassified non-coding RNA is filed under the name Hevea brasiliensis (rubber tree). The record is from RNAcentral. Lineage: Eukaryota; Viridiplantae; Streptophyta; Magnoliopsida; Malpighiales; Euphorbiaceae.